RNAcentral lists this ribosomal RNA (354 nucleotides) under bacterium LimC-10-J-120. RNAcentral describes it as "bacterial SSU rRNA". It matches the Rfam family "Bacterial small subunit ribosomal RNA", at positions 289 to 635 of the family's 1533-position model. The record is from RNAcentral.
GGUCUGAGAGGAUGACCAGCCACACUGGAACUGAGACACGGUCCAGACUCCUACGGGAGGCAGCAGUGGGGAAUAUUGCACAAUGGGCGCAAGCCUGAUGCAGCCAUGCCGCGUGUAUGAAGAAGGCCUUCGGGUUGUAAAGUACUUUCAGCGAGGAGGAAGGCAUUGUGGUUAAUAACCGCAGUGAUUGACGUUACUCGCAGAAGAAGCACCGGCUAACUCCGUGCCAGCAGCCGCGGUAAUACGGAGGGUGCAAGCGUUAAUCGGAAUUACUGGGCGUAAAGCGCACGCAGGCGGUCUGUUAAGUCAGAUGUGAAAUCCCCGGGCUCAACCUGGGAACUGCAUUUGAAACUG